CCCGUCAAGACUUUAUCAAAACAGCCGUUUCCUCUCCUCAUCGAGCAGCUCUCAACCAUUUUGCUAAGUUGCCAAACAAAAUCACGCUCGGCGCGCGGUUUGUUCCUUCUCCUAUUCAAUUCAGAGUUUCAGUCUCAGCUUAGGGUUUUGAUUCGACCUCCGAUUUCGCUCUGCCUUUUCCGAUAGAGAAACAGAGAGAUCUGCUGGGCUCGGAGCUUAGCGCGAUCGGCAAUGGGAGUUCCAGCUUUCUACAGAUGGCUAGCGGAGAAGUAUCCACUCGUCGUCGUCGAUGUGGUAGAAGAAGAACCGGUUGUAAUCGGCGACGUUUCGAUUCCGGUCCACACCAGUAAGCCAAAUCCUAACGGCGAGUAUGACAAUCUGUACCUCGAUAUGAAUGGGAUUAUUCUCAACAUCAUCAAAAACCAUCAAUCUCUCAUCAAAACACCUUCUGUUAUCAAACACAUCUAGAUUAGGGUUCGAUUGCACUCAUCGAUUAAGAUUUCGAUCCCUCUUCUUGUUCAUGUCUAUCUCUCCGAAGCCAACCCAUUUCCUCUCUCAUCUCCCCUCACCUGCAAACCAAAAAGGAAGAAGCUCGAAGUUUUGAUUCUGAGCAACAUCAUCACGAAGGAUUGUGCUUGGUAAUGGCUGCGAUUGUUUUGAUUCAGCUCUGAGUUAUUGGCUUUGGUUGCAUGUCCUGAAAGGGAAAGGAAACAGGUUAUGGUUCCGGGCCUACUGCCAAGAAUUGGUUCUGGUUAUGAUGAUCUCUGCAUAUGCUGCCUAGACAUCCGACGACAUUGCACCUGCAAUUUCACUCACAGAGAAUGCAUCAAAGCACUUCAAUAAGAUGAGAUCCAAACAUAAUGAGGAUCUAUGCCUGGGAAUUGGUGUUAAACAGGGUGGAUA
Molecule: long non-coding RNA, 903 nt
Organism: Rosa rugosa (rugosa rose)
Lineage: Eukaryota; Viridiplantae; Streptophyta; Magnoliopsida; Rosales; Rosaceae
Exons: 3
Source: RefSeq, a predicted model, not a curated record